CCCUACGUUCGGAUUGUAGGCUGCAACUCGCCUACAUGAAGCUGGAAUUGCUAGUAAUCAUAGGUCAGCAUACUAUGGUGAAUACGUUCCCGGGCCUUGUACACACCGCCCGUCACACCAUGAGAGUCGAUAACACCCGAAGCCUGUGAGCUAACCUUUUAGGAGGCAGCAGUCGAAGGUGGGGUUGAUGAUUGGGGUGAAGUCGUAACAAGGUAAC
Molecule: ribosomal RNA, 217 nt
Filed under: uncultured bacterium
Lineage: Bacteria
Description: partial 16S ribosomal RNA
Rfam family: Bacterial small subunit ribosomal RNA
Source: RNAcentral